GCACCGCUGAGGAGUCCCACAACAGAACGAGACGGCCGUCCAGUGC
This is a non-coding RNA of Schistosoma mattheei, 46 nucleotides long. NCBI's taxonomy places the organism in Eukaryota, Metazoa, Platyhelminthes, Trematoda, Strigeidida, Schistosomatidae. The record is from Rfam.